Molecule: ribosomal RNA, 587 nt
Filed under: uncultured bacterium
Lineage: Bacteria
Description: bacterial SSU rRNA
Rfam family: Bacterial small subunit ribosomal RNA
Source: RNAcentral
CCUACGGGAGGCAGCAGUGGGGAAUCUUGCGCAAUGCGCGAAAGCGUGACGCAGCAACGCCGCGUGAGGGAAGACGGCCUUCGGGUUGUAAACCUCUUUCAGUUGGGACGAAGCCACGGCGGUUAAUACCCGUCUGUGGUGACGGUACCUUCAGAAGAAGCCCCGGCUAACUACGUGCCAGCAGCCGCGGUAAUACGUAGGGGGCAAGCGUUGUCCGGAAUCAUUGGGCGUAAAGCGCGUGUAGGCGGCUUGGUAAGUCCGCUCUGAAAGCCCGGGGCUCAACCCCGGGAGGCGGGUGGAUACUGUCAAGCUCGAGUCCGGAAGAGGCGAGUGGAAUUCCUGGUGUAGCGGUGAAAUGCGCAGAUAUCAGGAGGAACACCAAUGGCGAAGGCAGCUCGCUGGGACGUGACUGACGCUGAGACGCGAAAGCGUGGGGAGCAAACAGGAUUAGAUACCCUGGUAGUCCACGCCGUAAACGAUGGGCACUAGGUGUGGGAGGUGUCGACUCCUCCCGUGCCGAAGCUAACGCAUUAAGUGCCCCGCCUGGGGAGUACGGCCGCAAGGCUAAAACUCAAAUGAAUUGACGG